RNAcentral lists this transfer RNA (72 nucleotides) under Thermodesulfobacteriota bacterium. Its description in RNAcentral is "tRNA-Val". It matches the Rfam family "tRNA". Rfam says of the family: Transfer RNA (tRNA) molecules are approximately 80 nucleotides in length. Lineage: Bacteria; Pseudomonadati; Thermodesulfobacteriota. The record is from RNAcentral.
GGGCGGUUAGCUCAGGGGUAGAGCGCCACCCUCACACGGUGGAGGUCGCUGGUUCAAAUCCAGCACCGCCCA